GAUGAACGCUGGCGGCGUGCCUAAUACAUGCCAGUCGAGCGAACGGACGAGAAGCUUGCUUCUCUGAUGUUAGCGGCGGACGGGUGAGUAACACGUGGAUAACCUACCUAUAAGACUGGGAUAACUUCGGGAAACCGGAGCUAAUACCGGAUAAUAUUUUGAACCGCAUGGUUCAAAAGUGAAAGACGGUCUUGCUGUCACUUAUAGAUGGAUCCGCGCUGCAUUAGCUAGUUGGUAAGGUAACGGCUUACCAAGGCAACGAUGCAUAGCCGACCUGAGAGGGUGAUCGGCCACACUGGAACUGAGACACGGUCCAGACUCCUACGGGAGGCAGCAGUAGGGAAUCUUCCGCAAUGGGCGAAAGCCUGACGGAGCAACGCCGCGUGAGUGAUGAAGGUCUUCGGAUCGUAAAACUCUGUUAUUAGGGAAGAACAUAUGUGUAAGUAACUGUGCACAUCCUGACGGUACCUAAUCAGAAAGCCACGGCUAACUACGUG
RNAcentral lists this ribosomal RNA (497 nucleotides) under uncultured bacterium. RNAcentral describes it as "partial 16S ribosomal RNA". It matches the Rfam family "Bacterial small subunit ribosomal RNA", at positions 28 to 507 of the family's 1533-position model. The record is from RNAcentral.